UACGUAGGUGACGAGCGUUGUUCGGAUUCAUUGGGCGUAAAGGGUCCGCAGGUGGUUUGGUAAGUCUGAUGUGAAAUCCCCGAGCUCAACUCGGGAACUGCAUUGGAAACUGUUGAACUAGAGUUUCGGAGAGGAGAUUGGAAUUCCAGGUGAAGCGGUGGAAUGCGUAGAUAUCUGGAAGAACACCGAAAGCGCAGGCAGAUCUCUGGACGGAUACUGACACUCAGGGACGAAAGCAUGGGUAGCAAAC
RNAcentral lists this ribosomal RNA (250 nucleotides) under uncultured prokaryote. RNAcentral describes it as "partial 16S ribosomal RNA". It matches the Rfam family "Bacterial small subunit ribosomal RNA", at positions 524 to 773 of the family's 1533-position model. The record is from RNAcentral.